Molecule: long non-coding RNA, 858 nt
Filed under: Monodelphis domestica (gray short-tailed opossum)
Lineage: Eukaryota; Metazoa; Chordata; Mammalia; Didelphimorphia; Didelphidae
Description: lncRNA (ENSMODG00000037464.1)
Source: RNAcentral
AUAGUUUAGUAGAAGGAACACGUGAUGGGAAUCUAGAAGACCCAGGUCUGAUCUUGGCUUUGUUCAGACAUUAACCAGCUGUGUGACUUUGGUUCCUGCUAGAUAAAGGGACAGCUUUCCACAGAUGAACAGCAGCCUACAAAUGUCUCCCCUGUUGAGAGCCACCUUGGGAGCUGGCACUUUUCAUUCUGACCUGCCCAGCAUCAGACAUCACCAGAUCGAUGACAUACACUCCACAAGGGAUUGAGGUUCUGGCAGCCAGUUUGAUCAUAAAAUUAAAAGCUCUUUCUGGAGUGCAGGAACCUGAGAGGAGGAUGCUCUUCCUCCCCCUCCCAACACUGUCCGGCUGCCCUCUCAUACCUCCUUCCACUGCAACAAGCACAGAGACUGAUGUUAAUAGGUCAGUGGGUAACAGAGUAACAGAGUGGUGGAUCAGAUUAUAUUUAGGGAUCCAGAACAGCCCUCCCCCUCCAUUAGCAAUGAAUUAUAAUGAGGACCAUAAUUUGGAGACAUCAGUUCAGGGACAAAUAGAACAGAAGAUGGAAGGCCCAUGGUCAGAGGGAAAGAUUGGUCCUCUGCUUCCAGACUCUUGCAGCCUUCCCUCAGGGAAGUUAUAUCUAUUCUCACCAAAGCUAGAAAUCUCUGGGAGCAGGGAUGGAAGUCUCUGUUUUCACUCUUGGAAAUUGCAUCCAAACCCUUGCUGACUUCACUACAGCAGGAGAGAAGGUAUGUGGUCUGGGAGAAGGUUCCUAUUCUUACCUAAAUCUGAUGAAACUAACGGGAGAAGACAACACAUGAAGGAGAGCUGAAAAACACACGUGUGUGUGAUAAGGGGAUAACAUAGUCUUGUUUACUGAC